UCUCACCCAGUGAGAUGCUAAACACAGAACAAGCAAUGCAAUUUUUCCUGACCAUCACCUGCAGGAUUGGCAGCGUGUCCCUUGUUGGUCACUGUCACAGCCAUCAGUCUGGAGGUGACUCUGGCAUGUGCUUCCUCAGCCACCAUGAACUCCUUGAGCUUUGUCAGAUGAGGAUGAUCUUCAUGCCUUGGCUCUGCAAUUUUUAAAGAGUGGAGCGAGCGCCACUCAGCACAGGGUAAGCUUACACUGCCUGACCUCAUUUCAUCCGGCCUCUUCCCUGCAGCACAAGAGCUCCCGAUGGCACAUCAGGUAUUAAGGGAACCGGGGUGGUUCACCUGAACUGCACUGAAGGAGUCUGGAAUAAGAAAUCAACCCAGAUUUAAGGCAGCCUUCAGUGUUUGUGUACAGAUUGAACUGAUUUAUCGUGCGUGUUCUGUGUGGAGUUGCAAAACCUCGCUAUAUUAGUGAUUUAAAAAGAGGAACAAUUUGGUUUGUCAUUACUAAUAGGGAUGUAACUAAAUUAGUCUCCCACAUAUUUUAUGCUGAUGAGGUCUUGCUUAGAUUUCCCUUUGUAGAUUUACAUCCUCACUAGCUUUAAUCACAGCUAAGAAACAUAUUGUAUGAGUAAUACUAUUAUGAAAUACUGAAGUAUUUUCAGAGGGGCUUAGAAACCCAAAAAAAUCAUAGAAGUCAAAAUCAAAGGUAAGCUUUAACAUUCAGCCCUAUGUUGUACAUUUGAUUAAAUAUUAAUUCACAGCAAUGUGUUGGGUACUUAGAACCAAGCUCUCUUGACCCAUUUGAAAUGCACAGUCACGUAUAUAAACUUGGCAUUUGAAAAAGGACAGGUCAAUGCUGUAGAUCUCACUUAAAUAUUUUCAACAGUUCUUGCUUAAUUAGUGGUCUAACCCCACUCAUAUAAGUGGUUGACUUGCUCACAGUUGUGGAACUAGGAAAAUAUUGCUGUAAUACAGACUUUUAAAAAUUAUAGUCUCUCUCUUCAAUACUUUUUUUUAAGGUUUUUUUUUAGUUGGGGUUUUCUUAGGGUUUGUUGUUGUUGUUGUUGCUGUUUUA
This is a long non-coding RNA of Serinus canaria (Common canary), 1071 nucleotides long. RefSeq lists it as uncharacterized. The transcript is spliced from 3 exons. The record is from RefSeq and is a predicted model, not a curated record. NCBI's taxonomy places the organism in Eukaryota, Metazoa, Chordata, Aves, Passeriformes, Fringillidae.